Molecule: ribosomal RNA, 4887 nt
Filed under: Triticum aestivum (bread wheat)
Lineage: Eukaryota; Viridiplantae; Streptophyta; Magnoliopsida; Poales; Poaceae
Description: partial small subunit ribosomal RNA
Source: RNAcentral
AUGCCGGGGAGGUGGCGGGUCUGGGGCCAGCCCGACGGUCGCCUCGUCUGGGUCCCCGCCCCCGAGCCCGACGCGCCGCCGUCGCCUGCCGCGGCUUCGCCUCUUCCUCCUCCCCUACCGCCGGGGUGCGGUGCGGGGAUAGCCGCCGCUUCAUCCGAGGACGCGCUGGCGAAAGGCCGGGGCGCUGCUGACGGAUGCCGCGUCGAGUCCAUGGCCGACCUCCUCGUGCAAGCGCGGAACACACUGCUCGAAGGUGACGGGAUGUCCGGAGCAACUGUUGAUGCAGGACAGGGUCAGCUGUUCUGCACUGGAUCGGGGAGGUCAGUGUCUGUCAGCGAGAGGGCUAUAAGGAGGGCCAGGGCGUUGGUCGGGGAGGAGGUGGAGAAGGCUGGUAACAAGAGAAAGCAACCGUUUGACGACGUACCUGGUGCAGAGGGUGAAUUGAGAGAAAUGGACGCCCCAUUCAGAGGUGGAGUGCAUAACACUGCCGUGCCCCCAGUGUUCCAAACUGGAUCCGGAAAAGCUGUUUUGCUGGGCAAGGACUCGAUCCAGAAGGCAAGAGCUAUUUUAGGAGAGCAACCGUUUGACCAUGUACCUGAUGCAGAGCGCGAAUCGAGUGAAAUGGACGCCCCAUUUAGAGGUGGAGUGUAUAACACUACCAUGCCCCCAGUGUUCCAAACUGGAUCAGGAAAAGCGGUCUUACUGGGCAAGGACUCAAUCCAGAAGGCAAGAGUUCUUUUAGAAGAUGUUGAUAGUGCUGCUGGUGCCGUACAACCAAUGUUCCGUACUGGAAUGGGUAGGCCGGUUCCUGUGAGCCGGACCUCUAUUGAUAAGGCAAGAGCUGUUUUGGAGGGACAAACAGUUGCAGAAAAAGGUGUGAACGGCAUGGAACAGUUUCCAUUGUUCCAAACUGGUUCAGGAAGAGUUGUCUCAGUCAGUGCGGCAUCUGUUCAGAAAGCUAAGUCUGUUUUGAAGGAUAAUAAUACAAGCGAGGAAAAUACAGAGAGUUUUGGUAGGCCUAACCAGCCUAUGAUGUUCCAAACUGGUUCAGGAAGACCAGCCAUGAUCAGCGAAAGAUCCAUUGAGAGAUCUAGAGCUGUGGCGAAUGAGGGAGAUGCGGAAAAGAGCGGACAUUGGGAUACUGAUUGCCAGUUCCCAAUGUUCCAAACAGGAUUAGGGAAGCCUGUUGCUGUGAGCUGGAGCUCAGUUCAGAAGGCAAAGGCAGUAUUGGAGGAAGAAAAAAUUAAAACAACUGGACGUGGAGAAAGCAGUGAUUGUGCCACAACUCUUCAGACUGAAACACCAACGUCUGUUUUGAUGAGUAGCAGUUUGAUCAUGAAUAGUAGAAGUGUUACACCGAAGGAAGAUAGUGCAAUGCAAGUCACUCGAACAGAGAAAAAUCACAAGGAUGAUGACCACGUGCCAUUGUUUCAAACUGGACUAGGGAGGUCAAUUGCUAUAAGUAAGAGCUCACUUAAGAGGGCAUCUGCAGUUCUGGAGCCAAGGAAUAUUGCAAAGGAAUUGGAAGAUGAAGCUCAUUUAGAUGGUGCCCAUGACACUCCAGUGUUCAGAACUGGAUUAGGAAGGUCUAUCAUAGCAAGUGAGAACUCUAGAAAGGAAUUGCCUAUCUUAGAGGCUGAAGAAGCAGUAAAAAGUGUAAACAAUUACAACGGGGAAACCUUUGUUGAAGAGGCAACGUUCCAAGCUGGAAUACAAAAGUUUGUACCCCAAAAUAGAAUUUCAAGCCACAAGGCCAGUAUGCUUUUGGAGCAACGAAACUUCAUGGAGAAAGGAUACAAAGACUCUGGAAGUCAACUGCCAAUGUUUCGAACCGGAUCUGGAAAGUCGGUCUUGAUUAGUGAAAACUCAGUACAGAAAGCAAGGGCUGUUCUGGAGGAACAAGGCAUAAACAAAGAUAAUCAUAAGCUCCUUAACAUGGACAAAAAAAUUCCUGUGUUUGCGUCACCUCUCAAGACAAGCUGUGCAAGAACAGUAAAUAUAUCUUCAGUUGGCGUGUCUCGAGCUGCUACUUUGUUGGGCUUGGAGGAGAAUACCCUUUCGACACAAUUUUUUGGACAUGUGGGGGAUAAGCUGGGCACAAAAAUAAAUUUUGAGCAGGAAAAUCCAGAACAGAGGCUUGGUCUUGCAUCUUAUCCAACAGAAAACCAAGUGCACAAGGAACAACACCGGCCAUUUGAGCUUUCUAAUAACACAGUUUCUGAUUCUGGUGAGCAUUCUAUCAGAUUCAGUACCGCCGGAGGCAGAUCAAUGGCUAUUUCUAGUGAUGCACUUGAACGCGCAAAAAGCCUUCUGGGUGAAUCAGAUCUCAUGGUUUCAACAAAUAAUUUAAGCUACCCUUUGGGAUCUGCUUGUAAUGAUAAGAUGCAAAAUUCAACUGUUGCGCCAAAAGAAGGCGGAUCUGAUUUAUCAAAAAGAAGAAGGGUCAGUGGAAGAACCGAACUUGCAACAUUUUCCCACCAGGCAAUGUCUGAUAGGAAGGACACUGGAUCCUUUGGAAAUGCUGUAUCUGAUAUCCAUCCGACUAGUGAAAACACCAAUAGGUUUCAUGUUGGGAGUCGUUCAACCAGUGAAAUUCCAAAGAUCGUGAAGCCUUCUUCCAGGUGUUUAUCUGAAACUGACAACACAAAUGACACUAAAGAUAAGACCCGACAACUCCAUAUGCCAGCUGGAGCGUUGGUUGACAUCAGUAACUUCAUGGGUUCAUAUUCUGGAAAUAUUGACCAUGUUGUUAAUGAGAAGAGAAGAAUUGGGGGAAGAAACUCCGCAUCUUCCUUUAAACGGCCCCGCUCUUCCAGGUUCAUCACGCCUAUAAGCACCAACAGACAGUCCUCUGCUGGAGUACCCAAACUACCACCAACUCAGAUCACUUCCUGUCGAACAAAGCUGUCUGCAUAUUAUCCUUUUCAACAUAAAAGGAAAACUUGGAAAGAGUAUUUCGGUGGUCCUCCCUGCUUCAAUUGUUUGGCGGAACAUAUAAUAGAUGAAGUGAAGCUCAUGGAUGCAAAAGGAGCUGAGAGGUACAAGUUUCACAAUAUGAAUACUGGUGCAGAAGAAUUUCAUAAGUUGCUGAUUGCCUGUGGGGCUUCAUUGACAUAUGCAACUAAAGAAUGGGUGAACAAUCACUAUAAAUGGAUCAUAUGGAAACUUGCUUCACUUGAGAGAUGCUAUCCAACUAAAGCUGCUGGCAAAUUCUUGACAGUUGCUAAUGUUUUAGACGAGCUGAAGUACAGGUAUGACAGAGAAGUGAACAAUGGCCAUCGAUCAGCCAUAAAGAAAAUUUUAGAAGGAAAUGCUUUGCCAUCUUUGAUGAUGGUGCUGUGCAUUUCAGCUAUUUAUUCCCAUCCUGAUGUACAUAAGUUAGAGGCUGUCGGGACAGAUGAAAAUGAAAACAGUAUCAAAAAUAAAAGCUUGUUAGCUGCUAAAAGAAACAUGCCUGCACACAUUGAAUUAACUGAUGGAUGGUAUGCACUAGAAGCGUCAUUAGACGUGGCACUUUCAGAACAACUACAGAAAAGAAAGCUUUUUAUAGGACAAAAGCUUCGGAUAUGGGGAGCUUCUUUGUGUGGUUGGACUGGGCCUGUGUCAUUUCAUGAGGCAUCUGGCACCGUCAAAUUGAUGGUCCAUGUGAAUGGCAGUUAUCGUGCAAGAUGGGAUGAUCCUUUGGGAUUCUGCAAGCAUGUUGGACCCCCACUGGCGUUCAAGUGCAUAAAAGCUUCUGGUGGCCGAGUCCCUAGGACACUGGUAGGAGUUGCAAGAAUAUAUCCUGUUUUGUACAAGGAGAGGUUGCCUGAUGGUAGUUCUAUUGUGAGAUCUGAAAGGAUGGAAAGAAAGGCGCUACAACUGUAUCACCAGAGAGUAUCUAAGAUCGCAGAAGACAUUAUGUCUGAACAAGAUGAAAACUGUGCCAGCACUGAUGACAGUGAGGAAGGGGCGAAAAUUUGCAAAAUGUUAGAGCAGGCGGCUGAGCCUGAAGUUAUGAUGGCUGGCUUGACCUCAGAGCAGAUGAUAUCUUUCUCAUCUUAUCAAGCAAAGCAAAAGGAAGCUAGGCAAAACGAAGUAGCUAAGAAGGUCGAAAAUGCUCUGGAAGUUGCUGGCCUUAGUUCAAGAGAUGUUACGCCAUUUUUGAAAGUGAGGGUGACGGGCCUUGCUCACAAAAUCUCUGCUACAAAAACCAUCAACAAGGAAGGGCUAAUAACAAUUUGGAACCCUACUGAGAAGCAGAAAGCCGACCUGGUGGAGGGACAAGUCUACAUCGCCACAGGAUUGCUGCCUUCUGCCCACUGUACGAACAUUCUUUACUUGCAUGCUAGAGGAUCAUCUACAAUGUGGAAGCCAUUAGCAUCGGCACAGGCUGCAGAUUUUCAACCAUUUUUUACCCCACGUAAGGCGGUUGAGCUGUCAUUGAUUGGUGAGGUACCACUUGCAAGUGAAUUUGACAUUGCAGGUGUUGUUUUGCAUGUCGGCGAUGUUUACUUAUGCAGCAACCAGAAAAGGCAGUGGCUCUUUUUGACAGAUGGAUCUAAAUUUAUCUCGGCAUCGCAGUCCACAGAUCAAGAUGAUUGUCUUCUAGCAGUUAGCUUUUCUUGCUCAUCUGCCAGCGAUGAUGGUGCCUUUUUCAGUUAUGCCCUUUCUGGAAAUACAGUUGGUUUCAGUAACUUGGUCAAGCGACAGAAGGACCAGACAAGGCGCAUAUGGGUAGCCGAGGCAACACAGAGCUCUACAUACACUCUUUCCCAUGAGAUAUCAAAAAAAUCGCAUCUUAAGGAAGCUGCAACAUGUGCUGAGAAAUGGGCUUCAAGUUCUUUUGAUAAAAUCCAGCAGCUAAAGGAAAGAGUUUUAUGCAUAAUUGGUGAUAGCGGUGGCUGA